Molecule: ribosomal RNA, 422 nt
Filed under: uncultured bacterium
Lineage: Bacteria
Description: bacterial SSU rRNA
Rfam family: Bacterial small subunit ribosomal RNA
Source: RNAcentral
UGAGGAAUAUUGGUCAAUGGGCGGGAGCCUGAACCAGCCAAGUCGCGUGAAGGAAGAAGGAUCUAUGGUUCGUAAACUUCUUUUGCAGGGGAAUAAAGUGCAGGACGUGUCCUGUUUUGUAUGUACCCUGAGAAUAAGGAUCGGCUAACUCCGUGCCAGCAGCCGCGGUAAUACGGAGGAUCCGAGCGUUAUCCGGAUUUAUUGGGUUUAAAGGGUGCGUAGGUGGUUUGAUAAGUCAGCGGUGAAAGUUUGCAGCUUAACUGUAAAAAUGCCGUUGAAACUGUCGGACUUGAGUGUAAGUGAGGUAGGCGGAAUGCGUGGUGUAGCGGUGAAAUGCAUAGAUAUCACGCAGAACUCCGAUUGCGAAGGCAGCUUACUAAGCUACAACUGACACUGAAGCACGAAAGCGUGGGGAUCAAACA